This 482-nucleotide long non-coding RNA is filed under the name Calidris pugnax (ruff). RNAcentral's name for it is "lncRNA (ENSCPUG00000009360.1)". Lineage: Eukaryota; Metazoa; Chordata; Aves; Charadriiformes; Scolopacidae. The record is from RNAcentral.
GCUCCGGGAGGGCGACGGCUGGAGCACAGAGGGGGCGGGGACAUGCGCCGGCUCGGGGCGGGCCGGCCCCUCCCGCCCUUCGCCAACCGCCGCCCGCAACGGCUCAGCCGCGCGGCAGCGGCCCCGGCCGACAUGGCGCACCGCCGCCCCGACCCGGCCCAGUCCUGCAACUUCGUAGCGCGGGACAACUGCUGGAAAAAAUUAAUUGAAAGUGAAUUAGAAGCUGCAAAAAGAUGGUCUCACAAAUGGGGAUUCUUGAAAACACCUCUUGAGGAGUUGACUGAAGAUGAAAAGAAAGAAAAUACAAAGCCUAAGAUACAGCUUCCAGAACAUCUGCAGGUUCGACCUGUGACACCUGUGGAAAAAUACAUUAAGGUGAGAAAAUUAGUUUUUAAAAUUGCAGUACAGCAAUACCUGUCUUAAGAAACCACACAAGCUCUAAACAUCAGUUGUCUUGUAGAUGUGGGCCUUUAACUAAAGGU